AUUUAAGAUUAUUUAAAGAGUAGGUAGAUACCUAUUAAUUAAUUUUUAUUUUUAUUAACUAUCGACAAUCAAAUUAUAUUAUUAUAUAAUUUGUAUAACCUGAACCGAGUUUACUGAUAGCAUAACAUGCAAUAAACUAUAAUUAUAAUAUGAAGCAUAAGCUCUUCAUACGGAGUUAAACAAUAUAACUGUAAUGCAAUUAAAAAAAAAUAAACUAUCAUUGCUACUUUGAAUAAUUAUAAACGAAAGACCGAUUCUGAGCUGAGUAUUAUUAGUCGUGCAUUUUUUUCUUGCUAAAAUAACCCAGAAACCAACAAAAAUUUAUCUAUAAAAAAAAUAGGUACCUCGUACCUAGAUGGUGAAUUGCUGAAAAUGGCGAUAAAUGUUUUGAAUAAAAUACCACCAAACAGAAAUUCUGCAUCUUCUUAGGUACAGCGUGAACAAAUUGGAGCAUUUGCC
Cinara cedri is the source of this 459-nucleotide non-coding RNA. Lineage: Eukaryota; Metazoa; Arthropoda; Insecta; Hemiptera; Aphididae. The record is from the annotation of a GenBank genome assembly.